UGGGGCUUGGCUCAAUGGUAGAGUGCUUGCCUCACGGGCAGGACCCUGAAUUCGAUCCUCAGCACCACAU
Molecule: transfer RNA, 70 nt
Filed under: Marmota monax (woodchuck)
Lineage: Eukaryota; Metazoa; Chordata; Mammalia; Rodentia; Sciuridae
Description: tRNA.Val
Source: RNAcentral